GACAUGAUGGCUGACUGGAUAACUCAAAUAGCUUGUGUCUCCUUUUACUAGAAAAUAGUUUUGGUCAAAAAUUUUCGAGAAAUUUUUAUUUCC
This 93-nucleotide transfer RNA is filed under the name Belliella aquatica. Its description in RNAcentral is "tRNA-Thr". Lineage: Bacteria; Pseudomonadati; Bacteroidota; Cytophagia; Cytophagales; Cyclobacteriaceae. The record is from RNAcentral.